UACGUAGGGGUGCAAGCGUUGUCCGGAAUUAUUGGGCGUAAAGAGCUCGUAGGCGGUCUGUCGCGUCGGCUGUGAAACUCGGGCUCAACUCCGAGCUUGCAGGUCGAUACGGGCCAGGCUAGAGUUCGGCAGGGGAGACUGGAAUCCUGGUGUGCGGUGAAAUGCGCAGAUAUCAGGAGGAACACCGGUGGCGAAGGCGGUCUCUGGCCGAUACUGACGCUGAGGAGCGAAGCGUGGGAGCGAACAGG
Molecule: ribosomal RNA, 248 nt
Filed under: uncultured bacterium
Lineage: Bacteria
Description: partial 16S ribosomal RNA
Rfam family: Bacterial small subunit ribosomal RNA
Source: RNAcentral